Non-coding RNA from Trichonephila inaurata madagascariensis, 74 nucleotides. The record is from the annotation of a GenBank genome assembly. NCBI's taxonomy places the organism in Eukaryota, Metazoa, Arthropoda, Arachnida, Araneae, Nephilidae.
UUCAAGAUGGCUGAAUGGUUAUGGCAUCGGACUUCUGAUCCGAUUCACUGUAGGUUCUAUUCCUACUCCUGGAC